UACGUAGGGUGCGAGCGUUAAUCGGAAUUACUGGGCGUAAAGCGUGCGCAGGCGGUUAGCCGUGUCCGAUGUGAAAGCCCCCGGGCUCAACCUGGGAAUGGCAUUGGAAACUGGCUGGCUGGAGUGUGGCAGAGGGGGGGUGGAAUUCCACGUGUAGCAGUGAAAUGCGUAGAGAUGUGGAGGAACACCGAUGGCGAAGGCAGCCCCCCUGGGCCAACACUGACGCUCAGGCACGAAAAGCGUGGGGGAGCAAACAGGAUUAGAAA
Molecule: ribosomal RNA, 266 nt
Filed under: uncultured bacterium
Lineage: Bacteria
Description: partial 16S ribosomal RNA
Rfam family: Bacterial small subunit ribosomal RNA
Source: RNAcentral